UGUUAUCGACAUGUGAAUUCAUAACAUGUCAGAAGGCAGACCCGGAGAACUGAAACAUCUUAGUACCCGGAGGAAGAGAAAGAAAAAUCGAUUCCCUGAGUAGCGGCGAGCGAAACGGGAAGAGCCCAAACCAACAAGCUUGCUUGUUGGGGUUGUAGGACACUCUAUACGGAGUUACAAAAGAACAUGUUAGACGAAUCAUCUGGAAAGAUGAAUCAAAGAAGGUAAUAAUCCUGUAGUCGAAAACAUAUUCUCUCUUUAGUCGA
This 266-nucleotide ribosomal RNA is filed under the name Staphylococcus epidermidis. RNAcentral describes it as "partial 23S ribosomal RNA". It matches the Rfam family "Bacterial large subunit ribosomal RNA", at positions 146 to 405 of the family's 2925-position model. Lineage: Bacteria; Bacillati; Bacillota; Bacilli; Caryophanales; Staphylococcaceae. The record is from RNAcentral.